GCGCCCCUUUCUCUUUCGCUUUCAGCGACGCCCCGCCCCUCGAUCCCUCCAACGAAUGCGCCCGAGGGUCGCGCUUUCCUCCGUCUCGUUGGUCGCCUGAGCCUUUGCGGACGCCGUAGUCAGCUGACCUGACUAGGAACCGCUGCAGGCACGGAACUCGGAAUACAGGCGUUUGGGGUGGCCGGGCGCCGCCAUGGCUCCGGACCCCUGGUUGUCGAUGUAUGAAUCCACAUGCCAUACUGCCCAAGAGGUUGCUGAAAAAAUUCAAGAACGCAACCGAUGUCAGAGGAAUGGUGAAAGUACAACUAAGCUCAAUGUUUCCAUCAGGUCACUGUUGCAAAACCUCAAAGAAAAGACUGAGCGUCUGAAGGACCUCUUGCUUCACUCUGUAUCAACCCGUCAGAUAACACAACUGGAAGGGGACAGGCGGCAGAACUUAGUGGAUGACCUCCUCACGCGACAUCGUCAUCUUCAGGCAUCUUUCAAAAAUGAGGGGACAGAACCGGAUGUGAUAAGGUCUAGCCUAAUGGCUGGAGGGGUCAGACAAGGUGUCGUAAACCCAUGGCUUGUGGAGGAGCCUGAGGAAACAAGAGGGCUUGGCUUUCAUGAAAUCCAGCAGCAGCAACAGAGAAUUAUAGAAGAGCAAGAUGCUGGUCUCGAUGCUCUCUCUUCAGUCUUAGCCCGUCAGAAACAGAUGGGGCAGGAAAUUGGGAAUGAGUUAGAGGAACAGAAUGAAAUCAUCGACGAUAUCACCAAUUUAGUAGAAAAUACCGACAACAAGCUGCGCAACCAAACCAAGCGUGUAAUGACAGUGGACAGAAAAUCAUCUUCUUGCGGGAUGGUGGUGGUGAUCGUACUACUGCUGAUUGCGAUAGUCGUCGUUGCUGUGUGGCCCACAAAAUGAUCAAUGGAGCUAUUACUUUGCAGCCAUAGCACUCUGAGGCAAGGAAAAUUCGAUCUCACUACUGACACUUUCUGUGGACUUGGUUGUAUUUGACUCAUUCUCAGUGCACUGGCAAAAGCACAGCUGGUGGAGAAAUUCAUUUUGCAAAAAUCUCUAUCCAGUAGGACUUGAUAUUUUUGAGAAUGUUACUGGUAGGAGGCGAAUCUCCUAACAAACAUCAAAGCAUAAAUGCAAUUAAUUCCAAUUCCACCUGUCCCUACUAGGUGGGAUCUACAGUUAAUCUCUAGAAUGCCAAGCUAAGAUAUUGGAGUUUUCAUUCUAACAUUAUCUUUGAAGCUGAAAUUAAUACACAUUGGUUCUGAAUGUCAGGGCAGUGGAUCUGGUGGUGUUCAAGCAAACUGCUGCUCUGAUCCAUGUUCUGUUGCACAUGGAUAUUUGCACAAACCUUUCAGAUGCACAUAAAUCCUGGAUAAUCUUUGGCUUGAGACAGAACAGUUACUGCUGUUACAUUUAUUUGGACAGGAGCAAAUUGGUAUUGUUUGGAAAAUCAGAUGGUGUUUCUAUCCUAAAAUGCAGAAACUAACACAUUAUGCUGUGCUGUGGUUUUCCUCCUAACUACAUUAAUAGCAGGGAAGAAACAUAAUUAUCUGAAGCUCCAAAAUCUAUAUUUUAGAUGAGAAAUUAAAAUAGAUGAGAGUAGCAAUACAAAAAGUCACUAUUUAAUGUUUGCUCACCUCAUUAUUUUGCUACAUAUGUGCCAACUUGAUUGAUCAAUUUACUACAAUAACAAGACGGAAUAAAACACUUAAUUUCUGUAUUACUCUUUGGGCACAUUAUUAUUUCAUUUUCUGCUUUUCUUUUCUUUCCUUUGUUUUGUUUUCCUGUGGGUCAGGGAAGUUUGAAAUCUAAAGAACUCUAAAGACUGCCUCUGGCUGUCAACCCACCUAAGCUCUGAUAUUUGUUGACUAUAUGAAUUUUAGGAAAUGUUUCUAUGAGAAUAGUAGAUUUUUUAAAAAAGAAAGCUGCAUUAGGACAUGUGUGCCCACAUCCAAACCACUACAGGAAGCAGCUGUGCAAAUCCUUUUAUAAUCGAUACUGUACUUCAGUCUCCAGAGCAUGUUGUUUUGGCCAUGCUACAGUAAAUAGUGAGCCUCUAAUCCACUGUUGGGAAUGGGUGGUAUAUUGCAAAGCUGAGAGAUAACCACCGCAUGACCCACUGGAAGGAGAAGAUGGGUGCAUGUGCAAUCAAUAGCCCUUUUGUUUAAGGCUCCAUAGAGGUGGUUGGUUCUAGAGCUGCCCAGCAUAUGGAUGUUCCCUUACAAUAGCCAAAACCAACAUGGGAACAUAGGAAGCUGCCUUAUACUGAGUCAAAUCAUUGGUCUAUCUCAGGCAUCCCCAAACUCGGCCCUCCAGAUGUUUUGGGACUACAACUCCCAUCAUCCCUAGCUAACAGGACCAGUGGUCAGGGAUUAUGGGAAUUGUAGUCCCAAAACAUCUGGAGGGCCAAGUUCGGGGAUGCCUAGUCUAUCUGGUUCAGUAUUGGCAGCAGCUCUCCAGGCAGGGGACAUUGCCGGUCCUACCUGGAGAGGUUAGGGGUUGAACCUUGGACUUUCUGCUUGCAAUGCUCUUAUCACAGAGCAAGCAAAGAAUCCACAAGGGAGAAUUAUCAUGCACAGUAAUGCAGUGAUUGCAUAAACAUGGCAGACUCUGGUGAGACAUGGUCAGCAAAACUAUGAAUUCCGUUUCUGUUCUUCUGGAAAGUAACAGCACCACUUUCCACUGAAGAUCAUCCAAACAUUUUGUGCCACUUAUUACUGGAGGUUAUCUUUUGAACCUGGGGCUGGCUGAAAGUGGUCUGUUCCAUAGAUGGUUCUCUCCCCCCCCCGGCUCCCCCAUUCUAAGUUGUACUACUAAAGAAAUGAAAGCCAACAAGGAAGUAAAGCAGCUUUUCUAGGAAGAGAUGCAUUCAGCCAGAUCUGUAUUGGAACCCAAGUUGGUUGAACUGUGUGGUACUGAUUAAACGGAGGGAAGAGCAAGAGACAUCACCAGACCCGAGUGCUUCUUCCAUUGCCAGAGUGGUGUGGCUGGUACUCCCCCAUGGCUUCCAGAAGACCUGGUAUGGAAAUCGAGUGCUUCAUUUCUAAAAUGGUGCAUGGAAGUGUCAUCUUUUGAGCAGGAAGCCUAUCCCUAACUUCAGAUUUUGGAGGGGAGUUGCUCAUGGUUCAUUGGUGGUAAAGGACUUAGUCAAGGUAAGCUCUCACUCCAAUUAAUCCAUUGAGCGACAACAGUUGCAGGUUGGUGUUGCCACUGGAAAAUCUAACAGUAUUUCCAAGUUUCCCAGUGGGACCACCUUUACAAGAGCAGAACAUACUUAUUAUCUGUGAUAAUGAGUAACACUACCCAAUUAUUUCUGCUUGGAAAGACUGGUGUCCGGUGUACUUCCUUCCUUGGUUCAAAUAUAUGCAGAAUAAUUGGCUUUCUCAACAUGAAGGGUGUUUGGAAGGUGAAAGAAAAAUGCAGUCGCUUUAGAACGUCACAAAGGCUGUUGUUACAACAGGAGCAAAAUUCGGUACACAUAAAAACAGCUUAUGUUGAUGUGCUUGCUUGAUUCUCCACUUUUGAUUUAGUAUUGUUGUUUUACAUUACUUUUCAAAACCUUAGAGGAAACAGUUGUAAGAAAUAUUUGCUUAUUUUCAGUGGAAGAUACUGUAUUCCCUGAAGCUCACAGAAUCACACUGCUAAGUACGUAAGAGUCUUUCGGGUCAUACCAAAGGCCCAUCCUGUCCAGAAUCUUGAUUUUCACUGUGACCAGUCAGAUGCUUAAGAGAAGCCUACAAGCAGAAUAUGAGCACAGUAAUUAACUCUCACUUGUUUCCCACAGCUCUGGUAUUUAGAGGUAGACUGCCUCUGAUCCUGGAGUUAAUCAGGAUCAGCCGUUCCGAUUAGCAGCAAUCGAUAGCCUUAUAUCAUCCAUGAAUUUGCCUAAUCCCCCUUCAAAGCCAAGUUGAUGGCAACUAGCACAACUUGUUCAUCCUGUUUCAACAGAAGAGAGUGGCAUAAGGAUGUGGAUCUGGACAGCUGGGAACAGAAAGCCAAGAACAGGGACAAUCAAUUUAACACCCCAAUUCUCCUCUCAAGGACAAAGCAAAUGUUGCUUGAACAGCAGUGGUUAACCAAGAGCAAUCUAGAAAUAUGCAUGAAGGACGUCGCUUUGAAAUGACAGACUUGUAAGUUACAUGAUAGAAAUGUUCUUACUGUCCUUUAUGGGGUAACUGAUUUGAUAGAGAGAUGCUGGGGAUGUAACUGCCCAACUGCAUUAUGUUACCUUUGGGAAAUGAGUUGCCUAUACUUCAAACUGGAAGGUCAUUGGGAACUAUCGGAAUCUGUCUGUCAUUGAAGUAACUGGUCUGUUUGUUCUCGGUAGAUGGUCAUGGGUUUAGUUUUAAGAGAAGAGUUGCCCUUACUUGCAUUGCAUUCAGAUUUCAUUUGAUCCUGCCUAUUUUUUUCUGGAGUUGUGACUGAAAUGUGCAUUAGAGAGAAAGAGAGAAGCCAUCCCAUUUUUCCUGAUUGUAAUAAGUCACUUUCAGUUUGGUUAACUACUUUGUUCCAGUCUUUGCUUAACCCUUCAUCACUCUUUCCUGUGACUACAUAUGCGCCUUCCCCAAGCAAAUUGGCAUUUGGGAAUAAUGUAUCCAGCUCUCUUCUGCCUGUGGAGACAAGUCUCUCCCUGUCCAAGUCUCCCUUCUUUUCAUGCUGGGAAUCUUGACCUCUGUGGUCUGUGCUAGUGUCCCACAUUCCAAGUCUAAGUAUGAUGGUAACCGUUUCCAUGUUUCCCUUACCUAGGGAUUUGAGGUUCAAUGAGAACUUUAAAAAAAUAAAUAAAAUGUGAAGGAAGUCAGGGUCUUGUUUGGCUGAAGUCAUGAAAGGUGGCCAUGGUAACAAAAGGCACCCCUUUCAUUUUGAGCAAAAGGUUGGGGGGGGAAUUAAAACCCACCAAGAAUUUUGCCACACUGUUUGGUUUUUUGGCAUGUACUGGGGCCAGCCUGUGAAAAGAAUCUCUCUGCAAUGCAUCCCCACAGAGCAGAGUCCCUACCUUUUAACCCAAUGCUUCUAGCUCAUAAGCAUGCAAGAUGAAUAGACUACCAGUCUACUGCCUUAUCUCCAGUAGCAGCCAAUAAGGGUCUUUAAAAAAAAAUGUCCUGCCUUCCUAGAAGUACUUGUGAUAGUAUACAGAAAUGAAAAGGCAAUCGGGUGACCCAGCGAAAAGUUUACAGGUGUAUGAAUCAAAUCACAAAUGUAGAUGCUGUUAGACUAACCAAAUCAUUUCAAAUCCACAAGCUUUUCAUGGUGAGAAAAACAGCCUCAACCUAAAAUCUCAAUGUUCAGUGUUAGUAAUGCUAGUAGAAACCAUUCACAGCUUUGCUUAAAAUAAAUAUGAAAUAUGCUGUGCACCAAUUACUUUUACUAAAUUUCCUUACAGGCUACAGAAUAUUUAUCCUGAAUAGAUACUAAUACUGUACAAAGGUUGAGGAAACUCAGCUGGAAGACCUGUGUAGUGCUCAUGUAAGUCUCCAAAAGGACUGACCUAGAGCAGGCUCCCCCAAAACUAAGCAACUUCUUCCGGUGUGCUCCCUCUUAAGUCUUGCUGUGGCAUUGAACAGCUUCCUGGGAUGGUCCGUUUUAAGACUCACUUUCAGAUGGGGUUACAUAGUUCCUCCAGGCUUAACCAUGGCCUUUACCACUCUAGGGCUGCAGAACAACUCUCCUUGUUUUGAGAACAAUUUUUCUUUCACACAGAAAAAGUGGGCAAUCAAUCUGUAAAGUUCCUAUGUUGUCAAAAGCACAAUUUUGAUGCGAAAAUUGAAGCUGGCAACUGUUCAGCUCCAUCCUAAGUAGGCUAAGUACUGCUGAAAAGGGAAGUGGCUGUUUGAGAAUUCUUCCUCUGCCAGAUUAGACAACUGAGAAGAGUCACACCCACAGUAAAUGAUGUGACAAGGGGGAAGACCUUAAAUCAUUUUGGAAAGCAGAGCAUUGCUUGAUAUGUGGGAGUAGGGUGAUUGUUGGUUGGAGUGCUUCAAGUUGUUGAAAAUAAAGAGAGCAAGGGGUGUUUAUAGGAGGUUAAAUUCAAAACCCAGUGAAGCUAAACUGAUUUGGAUCUUUGGUGUUCUUUUUUACAAGGUUGUGUUUUUUAAUGUUUUUUUAUUUAUUUCAUAAAAUUCAUACACCCUCAAGUGGCUUACAAAAACAAUAAAGAUGUGGGGGGGAAAUCACGACCAUACUUUAAAGCAUGAAAGUUAAAAUACUAGAAGUUCCAAACUCAAGCAUGUUUGAUCUUCCAGGAGGAACACAAUUCCUGCAAUCUAAAAUCAAGUGAUGUUCCUUAACUCCACAAUUAUACUCUUCCCCUAGGAUAACUCUCAAAAUUAACAUCCCCAUGUGAUUGUCAGGAUCACAAGGUCAGCAUCUACCAGGGUAUUGUGUGAAUAGAGCCAUUAGGAAUUCAUAGGCCAUACCAACAACCGCCAUCUGCCCCACCGUUAACAACAUGGAUAGCAGGUAUAGGAAAAUAAGAUGCACUGGAGUCUGCUUAGUGUGGGAGCUGGCAGUUUCCUAUUAUUCAGUAGGGAGGGGCAGGUGGAGGAAAUUAUGGUUCUGGUCUGGAGGAAAAGGGACAAUGGCUAUUAAUUAACUUUGGAGUGCCAAACUCAAAUGGACUGGAAUGGGGAAUAUACUUUGAUUGGAUGGAGUGGUUGGGGGGAGUGAGGGAGCCAAGGGUUAACUUCUGAAAAGCAAGGUGCUGGGGUUCAAGCCUUCCUGUAAGCUUGGAAGUCUUACUCCUUAAUCCCAGAUAUGUUGGGGCUUGUUCAGGUUGCUCUGCAGUGAAGGAAAUACACUGAGAAAGUUCAGAGGCAAACACUUUUUAUUUCUUCCACAUAAUGAUCUGGUAUCAAAUUCAGGUGGAACUGCAUUUUUGGGUUUGUUUCUUUUUAAGCGAGUCUGGUAUCUGUAUGUGGUGGGUGGUGAAGUUGGCCUUCUAAUCCAUUUGAGUUUGACAUUCCUCUUUAUUGUUUCCUUUGUGAGUGAAAUUGCUUCAUCGAGAAGCUGAGUAUAAUCCAAUCAGUUUCAUUUCCAUCACUUCACUAUUUAGCACCAAGAGAAGUCACUAUAAUUUUAAAUGGCUUCUGACAUCUGGGACCCUACCUGCUCUAGCAAAUAUCAGCAAACCCUAUAUGAAUCUGACCACUAUAAAUAUUUCCCAAACACCCAAGAGUGAUGCAAGAGUGAUGGUUGACAGAUCAAUUUAUGAACAUUUUGGCAUUGACUUUUCUUUUGCUUGAAGAUCACUUGUCUCAAAUAGGGCUGCCAUAUGUCCAGAUUUUCCCAGACAUAUCCGGAAUACCGCAGUUGGCAUUAGCGUCCAAGUGGAAAUUGGGAAAAUCAGGGGACAUAUGGCAUCCAUGUCGCUGCUUUUCCUUUAAAAUAGCGAUUUUGCCCAAGAAGCUCAACAACUUUGGGCAACCCCCCCCCCAAAAAAAACCUCAACAACUUUUCUGUCCGGAUUAUCACUGUUUGAAAUAUGGCAACCCUAGUCUCAAACUGUGAUAAUGUAAGGCGCUGAAUAUUUUGAAUUAUACUUGGAUUAUAUCUCAAGAUGCUGCCACCAACUAACUGCUUUUUUAAAAGCAUACGCUGCACUGUAAUGCAGCCUCCCUGCUUCACCUUGCAGUCCCAGUGUGGCACUGCUGAUUGCAAACCCAAGACACAAAGGUCCGACCCCUGUCAUCUCCAAGUACAGAAGAAAAAGGAUCCUGCCUGAAACCCUGGCUGCGUAGGGCAGCUUCCUAUGUUCAUAGAGACCUGUCCAACUAGUCCACAUCGAAAAAUUACAAGCAACAUUCAGCAACAAUUAUAUGCCUGCUUCUUCGCACCACAACCACAGGCCCACUCUGAUUCUCUACCAGCAAAGCUGUACUGCACAAAAUGAUACAAGGCAGUUUGGCCAUGCUUGGAAGCAGUAGUUUACUGCUAAACCUUAAAGUGUGGUGGGAGGGGGGCUCUGGCUUCAGUUAAAAUGAGGACAACCUAUCCUGAAUUGUAUGCUGGAUUUAGCCUUCUGCCCCCUGCGAGAGUAACACAGACAAUCCUACAGCUGCUGGCACAUCCUUCCACAGCCUGCCAGAGUAGAAAGAGAACAAGUCAGCAUCCGGUUAAAGGAAAGAACUGACAAGCCAGCUGGUUAACAGGGUUGGUAACCUCUCUCAGCAGGGAAGUAGGGAAAAUUCCACCAGGGGCAGCAUCUCUGUUCCAUUCAUGGCUGAGCUUGUGCUGUGAGCUACAAAGCCCCCCUCCCAGUCCAAUGAGCACAAGCAAAGUGGAUUAGACUGAGCCCUGGCACCAGGAAAAAUGCGAUGGGCAAAACGACUGGGAUUGGUAACUGGGGGCAAGUGGAUGAAGCAAGCAGCAGGUGCCCCCUAAGCAGCUCUGCAAGCCUGCUGUGCUCUAGCAAUGUACCCCUGAGGGGGAGAACAAAAUAAAACGAGUCACAGCUUUCACAUUGAUCUUGCUGCUGCCUGGGCCCCCCAUGACACUAGUUUCCGACAUGGUGUGGCGUGUGUCCAGCUCCUCGCUAAAAAUAUCUCAGGCAUGCACCAUUGGGAGUAUAUGAGCAGACGAGGGCAGGGGUCCCCAGGCUGUCAUUGGCUCAUGGCCCUUACUGUGCAAUUAAAAUAAGCAGCAGACUUGGUGUUUGUAAACUCUUCUUUAAAACUCUUGUUUAGAGAAGAGAAUGCCAAGUCAGCCAGGAGUCAUCUUGGAAAUUUUUUUUAAAAAAAUUUCAUGCAUGGCCAAUUUACACUGUCCAAACCUUCGGGGAAAAUAGCUGGACAAUAAGCUGAGCAGAGCUAGGAUACGGCCUAUUUAAACCAGGAACACCUGUGGUGCUGGAAAGACGUCUCCAGAGAAAGGACUGUAUCAAUAAAGAAUAGAAAACAGAAUCCACCAAAUCCUUACCUACUACCCUGUAGGAGUUUGGUUGCCAUUGCCUUGUCAACCUCAGUUCUCCUUACAAGGCUUUUAAAUGAGGUGUUGAGGAUAGAUGUGCGUCCUUUGAGAGUGGACUGGAGUGCGGGGGGCCAAGGCUCUGUUCUUCACUGUGCUGUUAACCAGCCACCAGGUGGCAUUGCAGCACUUCAGGCAGCUGAGAAACUGGCAAGGGUCACAAUCGGGGAGGAGGCACAAACCUCUUGUAUUUCCUCCGCAAUGUUACAAGUUAUGCAUUUAUAAACACUCUUAUAAAGGCUCUUAAUUGCACCUAAAUGUUGUAACGUGGAUGCAGCGCCACACACACAAACCAAGAAAUCUUGCUCACUGUGAAAUUCCCAGACGUAGCAAAACCUUUUAAGUUCUUUAGGAAUUAUUGCUUGGACCCAUUAUAUCUGAUUGCAAUUGCCCAGAGGUUUGACUACAAGACAAUCUCUCCCCACAAAUGCUAGGAGUUGCUUUCUUACUCACAAUAUGUCAGAGACGUAUUGGGGUCAGAGGAAAAAUCAAUAAAUUCACUGAGAGUUCCCCUCGUUCACCUUCCCAUCCCCUCCAGAUGUCCACAGGCCCUGAACAAAUAUGUUUGAUAUGGUCCCUCGUUCUUUGAAAGUAUCUAAGCCUAGACCAGGUCAUUCUAGUUUCAACCCCUCUCUGGAGCAAAGUUUGUCAUUACUGUUAUUAAAAUCUUAUUUUUGAAGUGGGGCUAGAAAGCUUACGGGGUUUACCUGUUACAUCUGAGUUUAAUAUUGAAGAUUUACGAGGUUUAAUCUCUGCUUUUUGUGAAGGGUGUGACCCAUCCAGUCACUUUCCUCCUUCACAAGAUUUCAUUAAUUUCCCCCUCUAUCCAGUUUUAUGGCCACCCUGGCAGGGCACAUUUCCGCACAACGAUACCCAUGCACUACAUAUGGAUGCAGUUACACCCAGAAUUCAGCAUGAAUGAACUGCCACCCCAGAAAACUCCCCUAAAGCUCAGAAAUACAGUUUCACCCUAUUAAUGUUUGGAAGACUAGCUAUUAGAACAGCAUAUGUUUCCUCUCCCUCUUCAGCUCUAUCCUCAUGAGUUUUGGGUUUCUAUGUGGAAUACUUUUUUUUAAAAAAAAGGUCUUUUGAAAACAUAUUUUUUUAUUUUUCCACGUACUGCUGCCAGAGUGCCUUUCAACAAAGAGGAUGACUAACCAGAGUCUCCAUGAAAGAAGGAUUUUUCCAAGGAUGGCUGAAGGUGGCAGGAUGGUGAUAUCACCUUUUGGGAUAGGAACCCCCAGACUCACUCCUCACCCCUGCUCCUUCAAUAAAUAUGACAAUUGAUUGGUGGGAAGGCAGUGGGAAUUGCUAGGUUCCUACUGGUGAUUUGUGAGUCAAAGGGAAGUCCUGUUCGGCUGGUUCUGUUAAGAAUACCAAAUAGGGCCUCAAAUGAUUUAUUAUUUAUUUUUCAUCCAUUUGCUUAGUGACCCUAAUGGGCCAUAUAACCAGAGGCAUCCCUGUUGACCAAGCACCUUGGAAAAAGAAGUGUACAAUAUUUUACAAAUGCAUGGAAGUGAACUAGAUCAAAGUGACUGCCUGCCUGAGACACUGACAUUCCAUCUGCUGUCUGGGGAUGAAGGGGGGGGGGUGCGUGUGUGUCCAGGCAGCGGAGGAGAAGGAGUGGUGUGAACAAUGCAUAAGACUUAAGAGAUUAAACAGUCCAGGAAACUGAAACCAUCUCUUGCAUUUCCCAGUCCAGGUGUGGUGCUGCACAAGCACAGUAAGGUGCAAGGGAAGUUUAUUCCCUUUGGGUGCAAACUCGCCUGAUCAGAAGGUGAUGGUUACCUGGGAGUGUAAAGGUGUCUCUGUGCCCCAUUUGGCCCAAACUUACUGCUGUUGCUUUACCUUCUCCGCAUGCCUAUUUAUGCAUUCACCCACAUCUCCCUCAAGCCCAGACAUCAGACGUGCCCAGUAUGAGAAAUGAGUACAAUCUAGGGAUGAGCAAAUCUCCCUCCCCCCCCCACAUCCCCCCAUUCAAUUUCAUUAUUAUGCUGUGGUUUGGCUCUGCCCAGCAUUUCAUUCUGCCUGCCUUCCGGUUUAACUUGAAGAAUUUCUGGGAUUAAUUUGGUGCAUGUGCAGUUUGCUGCAGUUUUCAGUUUGUAUUUCUUACCCUCGACCCUUUUUUUACAAGUUAGCACCGGGCAUGAGUGCAUAUGUACACUGAUUAAAAUGCAGCACAAAACAGAAUAUUUUUAGAUAGUGAGCUUGUAUAGUGCCCAUUGUAGUUAAGGCACUCUUAAAAUGCAAUUGGGACUUAAUGGUUAUGAAUAAAAUAACAAACUCUAAGCAGUUAUGGAGGGGAGGGAUUCAUUCAGUGAAGAUUUUUAGGGGAAAAUUGUUAACAUUUUUUGCACUUUGAAAGAAAGGAAGCAAAUAAGUAGCCACCUCUUUUCAAAGCCCAUGAAGCAGUGGCUUCAUUACUGGUGUCUCAUGGCAAACCCUGCCUUUUAGUAUUCUGUGGCUAUGCAAUGAGCUACUUAUAAACAUCCCAGAAUGUGGAACAUCUCACAGACUCUCCAAGUCUACCAGCUCAUUUCCCACACACACCCCUAGCCUUCCUGUUGAAGUUAAGCAAAGUCAUUAAUUAAUUCAACUUAGAGGCACACCAAAGCAAUCUUGGUUUGAGCCAAAAUAAAGGUGGUUGAAAUUAAGUACCCUCUGGCAUUAUUCAGCUCCAAAUAUUUGAACAGAAUUAAAUUUGCUUAUGAAUCUUUUUUUUAAGGUAUAAAUAAUAGUAAGAGACAGGAUUUUUCUUUGUUUUGUCUUCCUAAAGACACACUCCCCCUUUUGAGCCAGCAAAUUAAAAUGAUGAUAAAAGCUCUAUAGAAGCUAGUUGUCCAGAUGAUAGCACCCCAAUUUAGCUCACAAGGGAAGUAACCAUGUUCAAUCUAAUUAGGACCUGUUAGGAUAUUCAGAACUGCUAUCAUUCCAUAAAGUUGAAGAAAACAGUCUCCUAAUUGGCUUCCUGCUGGGAAGUCCGCAAAAAAGCCUUUAUUGUCCCUCUGUGUAACCCACUCUGCACUUUCUUUGCAGCUGGACUGUUUUGAACACUAUGCUGCCCUCACCUAAAGGCAUGGCUGCAAGAAACUUUCAUGCUACUAUGGUAGUACAUGAAUGUUACUUGGCGUAUCAGGAGUUUUUCUCACAAUCGUGUGCAAGCUCUCACAUGCCUAUUUGAAUAUCAUAUCAUUUGAUUUUGAAGCACCCCUAUCUGCAAUCUGUUCUAAAAUUCGGGGGGGGGGGGCUUGAAACAUUUAAAUACCUGCAUUUAAAUUUUCCUCCUGUCCUCCAAAAACUGAGAUGCAAUGGGGUAUGGUGCUUGCAUUCUCUAAAGAAUGGAUUCUAGAAGACCCAAAAGAGCAAUUGCACCUGGGCUUAGAUAGUGAGUUGAGAACACAACACCUUACCCUUAAAGGUAAAGGUACCCCUGACCAUUAGGUCCAGUUGCAGACGACUCUAGGGUUGCCUGCUCAUCUCGCUUUACUGGCCGAGGGAGCUGGCAUACAGCUUCUGGGUCAUGUGGCCAGCAUGACUAAGCACUUCUGGCGAACCAGAGCAGCACACGGAAACACUGUUUACCUUCGUGCUGGAGCGGUACCUAUUUAUCUACUUGCACUUUGACUUGCUUUCGAACUGCUAGGUUGGCAGGAGCAGGGACCGAGCAACGGGAGGUCAUCCCAUUGCGGGGAUUUGAACUGCUAACCUUCCGAUCAGCAAGCCCUAGGCUCUGUGGUUUAGACCACAGCGCCACCCGCGUCCCUUCCCUUAGGGCUUAGGCAUUAAUUAAAGUCAACAGGCUCCUGGCACCUCCCCGCCCCCGUUUUACUCAGCUUCAUAAAGAACCUGAGGUGACAUUUCUGACUUCAUGAAGCAUUGCCUUUUACUUUCCUACAGAGAGUAAGGUUAUGUAACAGCAGAGGCAACUUAACAAAACAGAAAGUAACAUCACACCUCAGUGCAAGAGAGGACAGAGAAGGUAGAAAGUACAGAAGUACAAGAUGGCUCUAAGCUAGAUCAGAACUGAGUACUGAGGGGAGGCAGGACUGGCAUCAGAGAUGGGGGUAUUGGGGCACCUUCAGAGGCACACUGCAGUUCCCCCAGGGUUCUUGAUCAUGCUGCUGCUGCUCAGUGCUGUCACUGCCUGUUCACCUGCCCUCUCUGAGUAUGCAAGCAGUAACAAGGGGGAGGAGGAGAUGUAGGAAUAUCCAGCCUUGUGCUUUCCCUCUGGGUCGUUUUGUGGGUUGGGUCCAGAGAGGGGGAGAGUAUGUGAUUGAGCAGUGGAGAUGGAAGGAAGGGUGAUGUGGGCUCUCUCAGGGAGUAGGCCUACUGAAGGCAUCUCCUCUCCCCCCGCUCCAAAAAAAGAGAAAAGGCUAGAGCUGGCAUUGAGAUGUGUGCUGUGCUGUGCUAGAUAUAGCCUCCCAACUCAUGUUUGCUCAUAGCCAUGUGACUCUUCUUUGUAGCCCUGGUUAUGAAUAUUUAUUGUGGAAGAAAGGAAGGAGGGGCUUUCUCAUUUAGGCUUCAGAACACAUUUGCCUUUUUGUAAAAAGCAAGUCGAAACAACAAGCUUUUGCAUUUGACCCUCUCAAUGGGGGACUGGCAAAGAAACUAACAACAGUACUUUUUCACUAAAUGUCACAUACAUGCACAGUCUGCACACUGUCCUUCCAUGGGAAAAGGAUGUGAUAAAUUAUUCAGGGUUUAUCUCUGCAAAUGCAAGUUGGAAUUUUGUUUUGCUGGAGUGGGCAGGUGGCCAUGGCCUGGUGAAGUGGGAGGAGAUUUUGUGUACAAGGAGAGGGCCGUUUUGUUGCUUGCCUGUUAUUUGGUGCAAUCUUGCUCCCAUGAAUUUGCAAUAAGCUGCCUAGAUACAAAGCAAAAUCCCAACACAUCCCCUGAACAGAACAAACUGAGUUAUUGCCAGGAAUUCCCUUGUGGCAAGAAGAAGUUGCGAAGGCAUGCUACCUUGAAUUUAGUUCAGCAUUUGCAAUCACAUCCAAAGUGUGCCUAAAGUUUCAAAUGAGCAGAAUGUGCUGCGGCUGGAAAUUCUGAUUCAGCAAGGAAACCGGGGGGAAGAGGCAGAGGAAUCUUUUCCGGAGACCUCCAGCAAUCAGCAUAGUUCAUCAUGUGCAUACAUGACCAAUAGGCACAACAUCAGUUUAAAGGCUACAUUUUCAGGUUCUGCUAGAAUAUAAACAGACCAUGGCCAGGAUUAGCCUGAGAAUGAGAUUAGGCUGAGACAGGGAUUGAUUUCGUUACCAGUAAAACCAAUAGUAAGGAAGCUAGAAGAAACAAGGGUGAUAUGCACAAGCCUGAGCAGGACUUUCCCAAUCUGGGGAGAAAGAAAUACUGCCUAAGAGCAAACCGUAAGUGCUUCUGCCCCCAAGCAUCUGCAGAUGCAUAAAUAGUGUUAAUGAUGACAAUUACUUUGAACUUCAGACUUCUCAGAUAUGCCCAAUGGUAUAAUAGUUAGACUCAAGUUGUAUAGAUUUUUGUACCACUAUUUAAGCAAAGAAGGUGCAGUCAGCAAGAAUCUGGAUAAAUACUCAGAGGUUAACCAUUGCCUAUUUUUUUCAAGGGAGGGAACUGGUGUCAAAGUGUGUUGUAUAGAACCUCUAACCUAGGCUGCAUAUGCACCGUUCAUUCAAAGCACACACACCCUCCCCCCCCCCCAAAAAAAGAAUCCUAGGAAUGGUAGUUUUUAAGGGUGUUAGGAACUACAGUUCUUUGAGGGGUAAAUACAAUUUCCAGGAUUCUUGAAUCCAGGAAUCAAAUACAUCCUGAUUAUUUCUACAAUGUUCUUAAACAGUAAGCAAAGUUAAACACACGAUACUCUUACGAGUAAGUUGGGCAUGCCUCAGGUACAGAAUUAGUUCCUUUUAGUUCCAGUUCUAUGGUUUUAUGCACAGUUGUACAUAUUUUAACAUGAAUGGUCAAAUGCAGACUAGUUAGGUUUCUCAUCUGUGACCAUCUCUCUGUCCUCAGAUGAAGCAAAGGAUAAUUGAUGGCAUGUUACGUGAUUUCUGACUUUCGCUGGAAACCCAUUGACAAAUCACAUCAGAAAGGAAUGCACAACAACAACAACAACAACAACAACAACUAUAAAGCAGCUUUUUCAAAUUAGCAAACAAGGAAGUUUCUCUUCCUUUUCCCACUUUUCCUGCUUCUUUCGCACUUUUGCUUUUCACUCUAAACAGAAUAUACUGCCAAAAGUGCAAGACCUGCUGCUUUCCGCUGGGACUGGCUUCACUCUGGAUUGAAGUUCCUAAGUGGAACUGACCACAAAGGAGUCUGCAUUCCAUGCUGAUUCAGACAGGCCCUGCUGCCAAACACCUGUGCACUCCCAAUUGUUCAUUGGCAGUUAUGGCUUUACUAGUCCUGCACCUGAUGUCAUAUGCUAUCAUGUGAGUGGCAGAUGGGUGUGGCCAGCCAAAGCAGCCAUGUUUGGCUGGCCUGAUGGGCCUAAUUUGGCCUACAGCAUGAAGGUUUCUCUCCCUUCCCACACAUACAUAUUAGAUAAAAACUUAGAAAAUUAGAUAAAAUAUUAGAUAAAAACCACCAACCAAAUUGCCAGUGAGGCAUUUACCACCAUGUAGUUAGACCGUCAGUGAGUGACAUAAUUGAGUGGCCAUUUGAAGCUCUUUCAGCAAAACCAAACUGUCUACUUGCCACACCACUGCCACACCUUCCCAGUGUUUAUGCCCACCUGCUGCACCCUUUGGCAGGGGCUUCCCAGGACUCCAGAAAUAAAGUGUCCCAAAUCCUGCUUACCACAAAUGCAGGCCCAGACACAUCAAAUCUAGAGAGGCAUUUCAGAAAAUAAAUUGACAUUUCUGACAUAAACAGAGGCAGACGCACACUAACUCUAGGGUGCCCUCGAGGAGGAGGGACGGUAGCUCACCAUAGUCCUUCUUGCAAUACUUCUUCAUGUUGAUCUUCAGUUUCCCUUUGGAUGCCUUGCAGUAUGAAUCGCAGUCUUCAGGGGAGCCGAGGAGGAAGAGACAGAAGAAAACAUUAACAAAACAAAUUAGUCUUAAAAUGAAUGAAAGACUUGGGAAAAGAAGGGAGUGUGUGUGUGUGAGGGGAGAAGCGAACAGUGAAAGCUGUAGCCUGCUAUGAAUAAGCAGCAUGCCUGUGAUAUCCAUCUGCCAGGACCUGAUUGGGUCAUCUAAUGGGGGCAUUCACUGAAAACCUUCCUUUCUAAAGAAAGCAUCUCACAAAAGAAGCUAUCCUCCUCUCCCUUUCCCUCCCCUCCUAUCCCCGCCUGACGAAUUCUUUAAGCUGUCCUCUGCAGGCUGCCAUAACUUGGUUGCCUCCAUGGGAGACCCCAGGGCCUCGCUUAUUGUGCCACCCAGAUCUUUAGAGAGCCACAACCCCCCCCCCCAGUUCUUAAACUGCAAACUGGAGUCUGAUUAAAGCCCACAGAGGCCUCUUUGUCACCCCCUAACCCAGACCUGUGUCAGGCUUUGGCAUUCAUUGCAAAGGGAUUCUGGCUGGGGUCACUCCUCAACAAAAGGGGUCAGGGAGGAAAUUAGCAGCCUAUGAAGCAUUAGCAAAGCCUUUGGCGUCCACUCUACUGGAGUGUGCAAAUAAAAUGCCCCAGUGGGACUGCUUCAUUUCUAUGGGCCUUACUGCUGUGAUACGAUGGAUUUACUCCUCCUGAACAUCAUCCUGUGUUCCAGUGCCACUAAUGUGAUGCUGUGUUGAGUUUUUGGCACUGCCUCCAUCCUGUUUUGGCUGUGCUAGAACUAUUUUCAUGCCACUUUUGAGCAUUGGGAGUGCAGCUUGACCCUGGGCAUGAAAAACUGUUAUUUGCUGUGGCAUUUCUUUCUCACUCUCUCCAGUCUCUGGCAAGGCUGGGCUGCACAUAGCUCAGCCUGCACUAUGUUUCCCAGGUAUGCCAGAGUAUAGUGUUUCUACAGCAAUGUUCCUGCUUAUCCACUUGGUGCACAGAUGGGUCAGGAAUUACACUUUGCUGUUAGGAAAACACAUGAUGACGGGGAACUUGCUUUUCUGCAGUGAUCGAUAAAUAUUAUGGUUCAUUAUAUGUUCAUGCCCCGCUCUUUCUUUAGAAUGCUCAAAUCAGCUAACAUAGGUCACCUACCUAUGACUGAUCAUAUUCACCUCUUGCUUGUCUGCAAGCAGUAUGCUCAAGAACUAGAGGCCCUAUGACCAUAGAGGGGACUAUGCAAUGGAAAUGAGCAACCACAAUAAUAUUAUUUACUGAUAUCCCACCUUCCUAGCCGGAACAGCAUCCUUUAUGGUUAUAAAUCCAUAUAGUAUAAUUAUCUACCUAACUGUGUUGCAAACAGGGUGUACAGAUAAAGGUCAUAAAAAUACUUCAAAAUUUUCAUAUUUAUACUCAUGAGCAAUGGAGGAAGGGAAAAGUCCAGCCCCACCACACAUUCACACCUACAACCUCCCUCUGUGCUUCUUUUCCACCACUGCCUAAUGUAGAGCUUUGCCUACUGAUUAGCAGCAACAAAGGAAAGUAAGACAGGCAGUUUCAACCAAGAGGUGAUAAAAGCAAUUUUGGGUUAGUUUGGGGUUGAAACAAAAGUACUUGUAUAAUAUAUCAAGAUGUAUAAUUGAAUAAUAAGUCAAGCUUUCAUUUAAGUUCUAAAUGGAAUUGUGGUUCAAAAUUCACGUUUUUGUGCAGUCCUUUUUGUUUGCUUCUACCUUUCCCCAAUACCGAAGAAUAUGCACUUUCCGAAGGAAAGUUUGUUUCUUAUUUUUUCUACGUUUUGCCCUCUGCAUGCCAUUUCCUUUGUUGUGACAAUAAAAGUACAUUGUCUCAA
Zootoca vivipara (common lizard) is the source of this 17757-nucleotide non-coding RNA. NCBI's taxonomy places the organism in Eukaryota, Metazoa, Chordata, Lepidosauria, Squamata, Lacertidae. The record is from RefSeq and is a predicted model, not a curated record.